CUUCCGUAGGUGAACCUGCGGAGGGAUCAUUACUGAGUKUACAACUCCCAAACCCCUGUGAACAUACCUAUGUUGCUUCGGCGGGCCGUCCCGCGGCGCGCCCACGUGGCGUGACCCGGAACCAGGCGCCCGCCGGGGACCCAAACUCUUGCCUUUUUAGCGUCUCCUCUGAGUGGCAUAAGCAAAAAUAAACAAAACUUUCAGCAACGGAUCUCUUGGUUCUGGCAUCGAUGAAGAACGCAGCGAAAUGCGAUAAGUAAUGUGAAUUGCAGAAUUCAGUGAAUCAUCGAAUCUUUGAACGCACAUUGCGCCCGCCAGUAUUCUGGCGGGCAUGCCUGUCUGAGCGUCAUUUCAACCCUCAGCCCCCGUUCGCGGGGCGCUGGCGUUGGGGAUCGGCCGUCCUCGCGGCGGCCGGCCCCGAAACACAGUGGCGGUCUCCUGCAGACUCCCCUGCGUAGUAGCACUACCUCGCAGAAGGGACGAGCGGGCUGGCCACGCCGUAAAACCCCCAACUUCUCCAGGUUGACCUCAGAUCAGGUAGGAAUACCSGYUKAACUUAAGCAUAUCAAUAAGCGGAGGAA
RNAcentral lists this ribosomal RNA (581 nucleotides) under Mycocitrus zonatus. Its description in RNAcentral is "eukaryotic LSU rRNA". The record is from RNAcentral. Lineage: Eukaryota; Fungi; Ascomycota; Sordariomycetes; Hypocreales; Bionectriaceae.